GACGAACGCUGGCGGCGUGCUUAACACAUGCAAGUCGAGCGGUAAGGCCCUUUCGGGGGUACACGAGCGGCGAACGGGUGAGUAACACGUGGGUGACCUGCCCUCAGCUCUGGGAUAAGCCUGGGAAACCGGGUCUAAUACUGGAUAUGACUCCAUGACGCAUGUUGUGGGGUGGAAAGCCUUGUGCGGCUGAGGAUGGGCCCGCGGCCUAUCAGCUUGUUGGUGGGGUGAGGCCUACCAAGGCGACGACGGGUAGCCGGCCUGAGAGGGCGACCGGCCACACUGGGACUGAGACACGGCCCAGACUCCUACGGGAGGCAGCAGUGGGGAAUCUUGCGCAAUGGGCGAAAGCCUGACGCAGCGACGCCGCGUGAGGGAUGACGGCCUCGGUGUAAC
Molecule: ribosomal RNA, 396 nt
Filed under: uncultured bacterium
Lineage: Bacteria
Description: bacterial SSU rRNA
Rfam family: Bacterial small subunit ribosomal RNA
Source: RNAcentral